AUUGACGUUUGUAAUAUGUUUCGGACUCCUUACGCGCUACAGCAGCGCAGCGUUUGAGGGCAUUGCUGUUCUCGUUAUACCACCCUCUGCUAGUGGGCGAAUUGCACUGGCACAGCCUUUCUCCAAAGGAGCUGGCCCGAUGCUCCCUCUCCGACGGGCUGGUGUCCUGCUGCUGACUUCUGAACGGGUUUCUGGACACAAGCCGUAACGCCCCGGUGGUUCAGGUCUGCUCCAGUGUAGCUGAGAGGAGGGGACACAAAACCUGCGUGACCGGGGCUGCCGGCCAAACUCCCUGCUUGCGGCACACCUCUGAAAACACGCAGGGGUGUUUUCAGUGCUGUGGGGCACCCAAAGACAAGCUGGGGGAAGAACCUAAGCAAAUGGAGGAUUUGCAUCUCCCCAUGGAGAACGUGGGGUGAUGACAGAGACCUGACGUGUCCCAACGGCUUAAGGCUGGCUCAUGGUCUGCGCUGUGAUCAGCCCAAACAGCGCAAGUCAGAGCGGUAAGCGGCACCACAUCUGGUGUCCUUAAUCAAGAUGAUCCAGCACCCCUUUUCCACCUCCGCAACUGCCAUUACUGUUUCACAUUAAUGCAGUGCCACACAUCUUUUCACCUGCCUAGAGCCUUUAACACACAAAGCACAGAAAAUAAAAACCCGAUGUAUCUCAUCCUAACCACAGUGGUAAGCAGAUUCUCAUCAUUUACAUGGUAUUUUUUCAGCAAAAAAAUAUUUCUUUGGGGGAGAGGUACAGGAACCUAUUGAUCUACUGACUUCAAUGGCAAAUAAUCUGACUGAUCACACUCAACUUGCCAAAUGUUUCUCUGUUGCUGACUACCCUACUUUUUCAAUAGCUUAGCAGCCCGGGCUCCUGAUGGGGGAUUUAUUCAAGAAAUGUGCAAUGUUUCUAAGUAGUGUUUUCUCUUGCAACCGCCCAUCUUGACGAUGAGAAAUUCCAUGCUCAUUAGCGACUCUGGCUCCACAGUGUACUAAAUAUAUGAUUUGUCUACUUUAAGAAGGUUUGGUGCUUUUGACUGGAGCUGCAAAAAAAAAUUGGCUGAAACACAGAACUGACUAAAGUUCACUCAAGUAAAAGUCUGAUGAUCAUAAAGGAGGAGAAGGUAAAUUUUGCCUGGAUUGAGUUUCAGCUUGGAAGAAAGGCAAAUAGAAAACAUGCAUAGGCUUGAAGAAUAAUUCCAUAAACUAAGAAAAGCUACCUUAUCAGAUAAGCUUUCGCAUUAAUUUUUUUAUCCAGUCUCAUUCAAAAGAAGUUCAUUUU
This is a long non-coding RNA of Egretta garzetta (little egret), 1278 nucleotides long. RefSeq lists it as uncharacterized. The record is from RefSeq and is a predicted model, not a curated record. NCBI's taxonomy places the organism in Eukaryota, Metazoa, Chordata, Aves, Pelecaniformes, Ardeidae. The transcript has 3 exons.